UACGGAGGAUCCAAACGUUAUCCGGAAUCAUUGGGUUUAAAGGGUCCGUAGGCGGACAAUUAAGUCAGUGGUGAAAGUCUUCCGCUCAACGGGAGAACUACCAUUGAUACUGAUUGUCUUGAGUUAUUAUGAAGUGGUUAGAAUGAGUAAUGUAUCUGUGAAAUGCAUAGAUAUUACUCAAAAUACCGAUUGCGAAGGCAGAUCACUAAUAAUACACUGACGCUGAUGGACGAAAGCGUAGGUAGCGAACAGG
RNAcentral lists this unclassified non-coding RNA (253 nucleotides) under uncultured Flavobacteriaceae bacterium. RNAcentral describes it as "contains 16S-23S intergenic spacer region". It matches the Rfam family "Bacterial small subunit ribosomal RNA", at positions 524 to 776 of the family's 1533-position model. The record is from RNAcentral. Lineage: Bacteria; Pseudomonadati; Bacteroidota; Flavobacteriia; Flavobacteriales; Flavobacteriaceae.